UACGGAGGGGGUUAGCGUUGUUCGGAAUUACUGGGCGUAAAGCGCACGUAGGCGGAUUGGAUAGUCAGAGGUGAAAUCCCGGGGCUCAACCCCGGAACUGCCUUUGAAACUCCCAGUCUUGAGGUCGAGAGAGGUGAGUGGAAUUCCGAGUGUAGAGGUGAAAUUCGUAGAUAUUCGGAGGAACACCAGUGGCGAAGGCGGCUCACUGGCUCGAUACUGACGCUGAGGUGCGAAAGCGUGGGGAGCAAACAGG
Molecule: ribosomal RNA, 253 nt
Filed under: uncultured bacterium
Lineage: Bacteria
Description: partial 16S ribosomal RNA
Rfam family: Bacterial small subunit ribosomal RNA
Source: RNAcentral